Molecule: non-coding RNA, 379 nt
Organism: Cinara cedri
Lineage: Eukaryota; Metazoa; Arthropoda; Insecta; Hemiptera; Aphididae
Source: the annotation of a GenBank genome assembly
AUAUAUAUAAUAUUACAGAUACAUAUUUUCUACGUUUGAACCUAGCAGUUUAUUAUCGGGUUUGUCCCAAUGAACCCAAUGAAUAACCGUAGAUGUACAAUCUUUAUAAUAAUAGCAAUAUUUGCGUUAUCCGAGUAUAGACCCAACCGUUACUAACGACCGGUUGAUUAUACAUCUCAGAAGUCGCCAAAUUGGAAAAAUUUGUCAAUGUAAACAAAUAUUAUUACGAUUAAAAGUACGCCAAGACCACCCACGACGGGUCGACCGAGAUUUACUUAUCAUCUCCAUACAUAAAAUAACAUAAACCAAAAACAUACAAUUUUUAUAGUAGGCAAUUAAAUUAAAUUUGUAUUAUUGUUAUAUUUAAUACAUGCACUAA